UACGUAGGGUGCAAGCGUUGUCCGGAAUUAUUGGGCGUAAAGGGCUCGUAGGCGGUCCAUCGCGUCGGGAGUGAAAAGCUGGGGCUCAACCCCAGUCCUGCUUUCGAUACGGGUGGACUAGAGGUAUGCAGGGGAGAACGGAAUUCCUGGUGUAGCGGUGAAAUGCGCAGAUAUCAGGAGGAACACCGGUGGCGAAGGCGGUUCUCUGGGCAUUACCUGACGCUGAGACGCGAAAGCGUGGGGAGCAAACAGG
This 253-nucleotide ribosomal RNA is filed under the name uncultured bacterium. RNAcentral's name for it is "partial 16S ribosomal RNA". It matches the Rfam family "Bacterial small subunit ribosomal RNA", at positions 524 to 776 of the family's 1533-position model. The record is from RNAcentral.